AGUGAACGCUGGCGGUAGGCCUAACACAUGCAAGUCGAACGGCAGCACAGUAAGAGCUUGCUCUUACGGGUGGUGAGUGGCGGACGGGUGAGGAAUACAUCGGAAUCUACUUUUUCGUGGGGGAUAACGUAGGGAAACUUACGCUAAUACCGCAUACGACCUACGGGUGAAAGCAGGGGAUCUUCGGACCUUGCGCGAUUGAAUGAGCCGAUGUCGGAUUAGCUAGUUGGCGGGGUAAAGGCCCACCAAGGCGACGAUCAGUAGCUGGACUGAGAGGAGGUUCACACACACUGGAACUAAGACACGAUCCAAACUACUACGGGAAGCAGCAGGGGGGAAAAUAGGACAAUGAGCACAAGCAUGAUCAAGACAUACCGCGUUGUUGAAGAAGGUAUUCGGGUUGUAAAGCCCUUUUGUUGGAAAAGAAAAGCAGCAGGUUAAUACCCCGCUGGUCUGACGGUACCCAAAGAAUAAGCACAGGCUAACUUCGUG
This 492-nucleotide ribosomal RNA is filed under the name uncultured bacterium. RNAcentral's name for it is "partial 16S ribosomal RNA". It matches the Rfam family "Bacterial small subunit ribosomal RNA", at positions 29 to 507 of the family's 1533-position model. The record is from RNAcentral.